UCAAACUUGGUCAUUUAGAGGAAGUAAAAGUCGUAACAAGGUUUCCGUAGGUGAACCUGCGGAAGGAUCAUUAACGAAUAUCUAUGGCGUUGGUUGUAGCUGGCUCCUAGGAGCAUUUGUGCACGCCCGUCAUUCAUAUCAUCUUUCCACCUGUGAACUAUGUGUAGGCCUGGAUACCUCUCGCUUUGGAAUCGAAGCGGAUGCAAGGAUUGCUGUGUCGACAAGGCCGGCUCUCUUUGAAUUUCCAGGUUCUAUGUCUUUUUACACACCCCAUUUGAAUGAUGUAGAAUGUAGUCAAUGGGCUUUCAUGCCUAUAAAACACUAUACAACUUUCAGCAACGGAUCUCUUGGCUCUCGCAUCGAUGAAGAACGCAGC
Molecule: unclassified non-coding RNA, 376 nt
Filed under: uncultured fungus
Lineage: Eukaryota; Fungi
Description: partial contains small subunit ribosomal RNA, internal transcribed spacer 1, and 5.8S ribosomal RNA
Rfam family: Eukaryotic small subunit ribosomal RNA (bases 1-73)
Source: RNAcentral